GAGGUAGACUACUGCAGGGACCUGAGCCACGUCGCCGCCUUGUUCCUCCUUUAUCUGCCUGAGGAGGACAUAUUCUGGGCACUGGCCCAGAUGCUGGCUGGUGAGAGGCACUCCCUGCAGGGAUUCCACAGCCCAAAUAGCGCAAGGGUCCAGGGCCUCCAAGACCACCAGGAGCAUGUGGCACCCAGGCCAUACCCCAAGACCAUGAGGCACGCAGACAAGGAAGGGCUAUGCAUUCAGGGUUCCUCAUUAGGUUGGUUGCUUUGGAGCUUGAUCAAUGGGAUCUCUCUCGGGCUCACCCUGAGCCUUUGGGACGUGUAUUUGCUAGAAGGGGAACAGGUGUUGACGCCAAUGGCACGCACUGCCUUUAAGGUUCAGAGGAAGCACCUCGUGAAGAUAUCCAGGUGUGGCCGUGGGCAUGUUUUCAGGACCAGUUUUCCCAUACCUGGGCCCUGGAUGAUGAUGCAGUUCUCAGACACCCUUGGGCCUCUAUGAGGAAACAAGGAAGCCUGGGGACCUGCCACCCCCAGCCAAACCUGAGCAAGGGUCCUUGGCACCCAGGCCUGGGCUGGCUUCACCUGGCAGGAAGACCCUCUGGCAGGGGGACAGGCAGGCCCCUCCUGGCCCAACAACUCGGUUCCAGUGGCCCAUUUGGCCAGCUUCCCCGCCAUGGGUGGCCCGUUUGGUCAGCUUCCCCUCCAUGGGUGCCUCCAGGCCAUUCUCUGGGGGCACCGGGGACUGAGGGUGUGCCCAGCCUGGCCCUGGCUCAGGGGGAACCUCAGGUUUCCUGGAGGUUCCUCCAGUGGAACUCCAUGCCACGGCUCCAUCCCUAUGAACCUGGAUGUGGGGGGCCCUCGUUGCCCCCCGUUAUGAUUUUGAACAGAGCUGCUGGAGACUUGCACCCAGUCCCUGGGAUGGACCAGCUGGCCACCUGCUGGCAGGCUGGUCACACUGCGGAGGGG
This 962-nucleotide long non-coding RNA is filed under the name Homo sapiens (human). Its description in RNAcentral is "non-protein coding lnc-SRARP-1:1". Lineage: Eukaryota; Metazoa; Chordata; Mammalia; Primates; Hominidae. The record is from RNAcentral.